This 637-nucleotide long non-coding RNA is filed under the name Rattus norvegicus (Norway rat). RNAcentral's name for it is "long non-coding RNA NONRATT018251". The record is from RNAcentral. Lineage: Eukaryota; Metazoa; Chordata; Mammalia; Rodentia; Muridae.
CCCCUACUCGGGGGUCAUGAUGGGCAGCAAGAUGGCUUCCGCCACCAGGGUCAUGCAGGUAGUGAAGCCACAUGCUCUGUUAAUAAAGUUCCCUAACAGAAGAGACAAACCUAAGCUCAGUGCCUCGGAAGCUUUGAGAUCUGCUGUGCUACCCUCCCACUCCUCUGUAAUUUCCCAGCAUUCUAAAGGAAAUUUGUCCCCAAAUUUACUGAUGCACAGGGGCCACCAGACACUGCAGAAAUAAUAAAAUCAUUACCUCGGAAAUACAGGAGGAAACCUAUGUCUCAGGAGGAAAUGGAAUUUAUCCAGCGUGGGGGUCUAGAGUGAUCGUCGUCGGGGCUGCUGCUUGUCACCAGACAGAAGGAUUAGCUUUACAAUAAAGGACUUCCACAAUGUCAAAUGAAAAGUCAUAUAUUAAACAACCUUAAUAAAUGUUCUGUAAGCAGAAUGAAGUAUAGAAACUCCAGGCGGUCACUUGAAUCUCCUACCUUAUGUAUCUUGGUCACUUCCCUACAAGCUGGCCUAUACCCUUAUGAAAGUGUACGUUUUUAAAUGCUAGCCUAUUAACUUACUCUUGAUUAUGAAGUGUUACCGGUGAUGAGUUAUUAAAAGCACAUGGUAUCUAAAAAAAAAAAAA